CCUACGGGUGGCAGCAGUCGAGAAUUAUUCACAAUGGGGGAAACCCUGAUGGUGCGACGCCGCGUGGGGGAAUGAAGGUCUUCGGAUUGUAAACCUCUGUCCUCUGUGAAGAUAAUGACGGUAGCAGAGGAGGAAACUCCGGCUAACUACGUGCCAGCAGCCGCGGUAAUACGUAGGGAGCAAGCGUUGUCCGGAUUUACUGGGUGUAAAGGGUGCGUAGGCGGCCCUGCAAGUCAGAAGUGAAAUCCAUGGGCUUAACCCGUGAACUGCUUUUGAAACUGUAGGGCUUGAGUGAAGUAGAGGCAGGCGGAAUUCCCGGUGUAGCGGUGAAAUGCGUAGAGAUCGGGAGGAACACCAGUGGCGAAGGCGGCCUGCUGGGCUUUAACUGACGCUGAAGCACGAAAGCGUGGGUAGCAAACAGGAUUAGAUACCCCAGUAGUC
This 441-nucleotide ribosomal RNA is filed under the name uncultured bacterium. RNAcentral describes it as "partial 16S ribosomal RNA". It matches the Rfam family "Bacterial small subunit ribosomal RNA", at positions 338 to 795 of the family's 1533-position model. The record is from RNAcentral.